UACGAAGGGUGCAAGCGUUGUUCGGAUUUACUGGGCGUAAAGCGCGCGCAGGCGGAUUAGCAAGUCAGAUGUGAAAUCUCGGGGCCUAACCCCGAAACUGCGUCUGAAACUGUUGAUCUAGAGUAUCGGAGAGGGAUGGGGAAUUUCCUGUGUAGGGGUAAAAUCCGUAGAGAUAGGAAGGAACACCAGAGGCGAAGGCGCCAUCCUGGACGAUUACUGACGCUGAGGCGCGAAAGCGUGGGGAGCAAACAGG
RNAcentral lists this ribosomal RNA (253 nucleotides) under uncultured bacterium. RNAcentral describes it as "partial 16S ribosomal RNA". It matches the Rfam family "Bacterial small subunit ribosomal RNA", at positions 524 to 776 of the family's 1533-position model. The record is from RNAcentral.